This 69-nucleotide transfer RNA is filed under the name Ictidomys tridecemlineatus (thirteen-lined ground squirrel). RNAcentral describes it as "Spermophilus tridecemlineatus (thirteen-lined ground squirrel) tRNA". It matches the Rfam family "tRNA". From Rfam's summary of the family: Transfer RNA (tRNA) molecules are approximately 80 nucleotides in length. RNAcentral also lists the same sequence under 1 other name. Lineage: Eukaryota; Metazoa; Chordata; Mammalia; Rodentia; Sciuridae. The record is from Rfam by way of RNAcentral.
GGGACUGUAGCUCAGUGGUAGAGCACCCACCUUACAUGUGUGAGGCCCUGGGUUUGAUCCUCAGCACCA